CAGCUGUAACCGAUGCGCGUUAGGUGUAUCGGUGACCACGAGUCACCGAGGUGCCGAAGAGAAAUCGUGAAACGUGCCGCCUGGGAAGUACGGUCGCAAGGCUGAAACUUAAAGGAAUUGGCGGGGGAGCACCACAACAGGUGGAGCCUGCGGUUUAAUCGGACUCAACGCCGGGAAGCUCACCGGAUAAGACAGCUGAAUGAUAGUCGGGUUGAAGACUCUGCUUGACUAGCUGAGAGGUGGUGCAUGGCGUGUGACUGU
This 261-nucleotide ribosomal RNA is filed under the name uncultured archaeon. RNAcentral describes it as "partial 16S ribosomal RNA". It matches the Rfam family "Archaeal small subunit ribosomal RNA", at positions 748 to 1008 of the family's 1478-position model. The record is from RNAcentral.